This 18-nucleotide small nuclear RNA is filed under the name Arabidopsis thaliana (thale cress). RNAcentral describes it as "snRNA_03255". The record is from RNAcentral. Lineage: Eukaryota; Viridiplantae; Streptophyta; Magnoliopsida; Brassicales; Brassicaceae.
GUGCUGGUAUGAUCGCAU